UUCGGACGGGUGAGUAACGCGUGAGAAUCUGCCUCCAAGACGGGGACAACAGUUGGAAACGGCUGCUAAUCCCGGAUAAGCCGAAAGGUGAAAGAUUUAUCGCUUGGAGAGGAGCUCGCGUCCGAUUAGCUAGUUGGUGAGAUAAAAGCGCACCAAGGCAACGAUCGGUAGCUGGUCUGAGAGGACGAUCAGCCACACUGGGACUGAGACACGGCCCAGACUCCUACGGGAGGCAGCAGUGGGGAAUUUUCCGCAAUGGGCGCAAGCCUGACGGAGCAAGACCGCGUGAGGGAAGAAGGCUUUUGGGUCGUAAACCUCUUUUCUCAAGGAAGAAGAAAGUGACAGUACUUGAGGAAUAAGCAUCGGCUAACUCCGUGCCAGCAGCCGCGGUAAUACGGAGGAUGCAAGCGUUACCCGGAAUUAUUGGGCGUAAAGCGUCCGCAGGUGGCUAUACAAGUCUGCUGUCAAAGACUGAAGCUCAACUUCGGAAAGGCAGUGGAAACUGUAGAGCUGGAGUUCGGUAGGGGUAGAGGGAAUUCCCAGUGUAGCGGUGAAAUGCGUAGAGAUUGGGAAGAACACCGGUGGCGAAAGCGCUCUACUGGCCGA
This 606-nucleotide ribosomal RNA is filed under the name filamentous cyanobacterium LEGE 07180. RNAcentral's name for it is "bacterial SSU rRNA". It matches the Rfam family "Bacterial small subunit ribosomal RNA", at positions 97 to 737 of the family's 1533-position model. The record is from RNAcentral. Lineage: Bacteria; Bacillati; Cyanobacteriota; Cyanophyceae; Oscillatoriales.